ACCAGACUCCUACGGGAGGCAGCAGUGGGGAAUAUUGCACAAUGGGGGGAACCCUGAUGCAGCGACGCCGCGUGGGUGAAGGAGCACCUCGGUGCGUAAAGCCCUAUCGGCAGGGAAGAAACAGACGGUACCUGACUAAGAAGCCCCGGCUAACUACGUGCCAGCAGCCGCGGUAAUACGUAGGGGGCAAGCGUUAUCCGGAUUCACUGGGUGUAAAGGGAGCGCAGGCGGUUCUGCAAGUCUGAUGUGAAAGCCCGGGGCUCAACCGCGGGACUGCAUUGGAAACUGCGGGACUGGAGUGUCGGAGGGGUAAGCGGAAUUCCUGGUGUAGCGGUGAAAUGCGUAGAUAUCAGGAGGAACACCGGUGGCGAAGGCGGCUUACUGGACGAUGACUGACGCUGAGGCUCGAAAGCGUGGGGAGCAAACAGGAUUAGAUACCCUAGUA
RNAcentral lists this ribosomal RNA (445 nucleotides) under uncultured bacterium. RNAcentral's name for it is "bacterial SSU rRNA". It matches the Rfam family "Bacterial small subunit ribosomal RNA", at positions 330 to 792 of the family's 1533-position model. The record is from RNAcentral.